UACGAAGGGGGCUAGCGUUGCUCGGAAUCACUGGGCGUAAAGGGCGCGUAGGCGGGCUCUUAAGUCAGGGGUGAAAGCCCAAGGCUCAACCUUGGAAUUGCCUUUGAUACUGAGGGCCUUGAGACCGGAAGAGGUCGGCGGAACUGCGAGUGUAGAGGUGAAAUUCGUAGAUAUUCGCAAGAACACCAGUGGCGAAGGCGGCCGACUGGUCCGGUUCUGACGCUGAGGUGCGAAAGCGUGGGGAGCAAACAGG
Molecule: ribosomal RNA, 253 nt
Filed under: uncultured bacterium
Lineage: Bacteria
Description: partial 16S ribosomal RNA
Rfam family: Bacterial small subunit ribosomal RNA
Source: RNAcentral